CUAAAUGUGCCAGAGGAGAUGGGCAUGAUUUAGGAUUAUGUUAUGGGUGCGUACACCCCAUUUAGU
This 66-nucleotide transfer RNA is filed under the name Hexostoma thynni. Its description in RNAcentral is "tRNA-Leu". Lineage: Eukaryota; Metazoa; Platyhelminthes; Monogenea; Diclybothriidea; Hexostomatidae. The record is from RNAcentral.